AACGCACAUUGCGCCCAGUGGUAUUCCGCUGGGCAUGCCUGUUCGAGCGUCAUUUCAACCCUCAAGCUCUGCUUGGUAUUGGAUGCCACCAGCAUGGUGCACCUUAAAAUCAGUGGCGGUGCCAUCUGGCUUCAAGCGUAGUAAUACUUCUCGCUCUGGAGGCCCAGGUGUCUGCUUGCCAAAACCCCCAUACUUUCUCAUGGUUGACCUCGGAUCAGGUAGGGAUACCCGCUGAACUUAA
This 241-nucleotide unclassified non-coding RNA is filed under the name uncultured fungus. RNAcentral's name for it is "partial contains 5.8S ribosomal RNA, internal transcribed spacer 2, and large subunit ribosomal RNA". The stretch from base 1 to 52 matches the Rfam family "5.8S ribosomal RNA", at positions 103 to 154 of the family's 154-position model. The record is from RNAcentral. Lineage: Eukaryota; Fungi.